Molecule: ribosomal RNA, 97 nt
Filed under: uncultured bacterium
Lineage: Bacteria
Description: partial 16S ribosomal RNA
Rfam family: Bacterial small subunit ribosomal RNA
Source: RNAcentral
CACACCGCCCGUCACAUGACGGAAGUUGGCCUUACCCGAAGUCAGUGCGCUAACCGCAAGGAAGCAGCUGCCGAAGGUAGAGUCGGCGACUGGCGUG